This 484-nucleotide ribosomal RNA is filed under the name uncultured bacterium. Its description in RNAcentral is "partial 16S ribosomal RNA". It matches the Rfam family "Bacterial small subunit ribosomal RNA", at positions 29 to 507 of the family's 1533-position model. The record is from RNAcentral.
AUUGAACGCUGGCGGCAUGCUUUACACAUGCAAGUCGAACGGCAGCGCGGGCUUCGGCCUGGCGGCGAGUGGCGAACGGGUGAGUAAUGCAUCGGAACGUGCCCAGUAGUGGGGGAUAGCCCGGCGAAAGCCGGAUUAAUACCGCAUACGACCUGAGGGUGAAAGCGGGGGACCGAAAGGCCUCGCGCUAUUGGAGCGGCCGAUGUCGGAUUAGCUAGUUGGUGGGGUAAAGGCUUACCAAGGCGACGAUCCGUAGCUGGUCUGAGAGGACGACCAGCCACACUGGGACUGAGACACGACCCAGACUCCUACGGGAGGCAGCAGUGGGGAAUUUUGGACAAUGGGGGCAACCCUGAUCCAGCCAUGCCGCGUGCGGGAAGAAGGCCUUCGGGUUGUAAACCGCUUUUGUUCGGGAAGAAAUCCUCUGGGCUAAUACCCCGGGGGGAUGACGGUACCGGAAGAACAAGCACCGGCUAACUACGUG